RNAcentral lists this ribosomal RNA (413 nucleotides) under uncultured bacterium. RNAcentral's name for it is "bacterial SSU rRNA". It matches the Rfam family "Bacterial small subunit ribosomal RNA", at positions 505 to 916 of the family's 1533-position model. The record is from RNAcentral.
GUGCCAGCCGCCGCGGUAAUACGUAGGGUGCGAGCGUUAAUCGGAAUUACUGGGCGUAAAGCGUGCGCAGGUGGUUGUGUAAGUCAGAGGUGAAAUCCCCGGGCUCAACCUGGGAACUGCCUUUGAGACUGCACGGCUAGAGGAUAGCAGAGGGGGGUGGAAUUCCACGUGUAGCAGUGAAAUGCGUAGAGAUGUGGAGGAACACCGAUGGCGAAGGCAGCCCCCUGGGCUAUUACUGACACUCAUGCACGAAAGCGUGGGGAGCAAACAGGAUUAGAUACCCUGGUAGUCCACGCCCUAAACGAUGUCAACUGGAUGUUGGGAGGGUUAAACCUCUUAGUGUCGUAGCUAACGCGUGAAGUUGACCGCCUGGGGAGUACGGCCGCAAGGCUAAAACUUAAAUAAAUUGACGG